AUUGAACGCUGGCGGCAUGCCUUACACAUGCAAGUCGAACGGUAACGGGCCUUCGGGUGCCGACGAGUGGCGAACGGGUGAGUAAUGCAUCGGAACGUACCUUUCAGUGGGGGAUAACGUAGCGAAAGUUACGCUAAUACCGCAUAUUCUGUGAGCAGGAAAGCAGGGGAUCGCAAGACCUUGCGCUGAUUGAGCGGCCGAUGUCAGAUUAGCUAGUUGGUGAGGUAAAGGCUCACCAAGGCGACGAUCUGUAGCGGGUCUGAGAGGAUGAUCCGCCACACUGGGACUGAGACACGGCCCAGACUCCUACGGGAGGCAGCAGUGGGGAAUUUUGGACAAUGGGCGAAAGCCUGAUCCAGCCAUGCCGCGUGAGUGAAGAAGGCC
Molecule: ribosomal RNA, 384 nt
Filed under: uncultured bacterium
Lineage: Bacteria
Description: bacterial SSU rRNA
Rfam family: Bacterial small subunit ribosomal RNA
Source: RNAcentral